GACGAACGCUGGCGGCGUGCUUAACACAUGCAAGUCGAACGGUGAAGCGCCUUCCUUUUUGGUGGGUGUGGAUGAGUGGCGAACGGGUGAGUAACACGUGAGUAACCUGCCCCCUUCUUCUGGAUAACCGCAUGAAAGUGUGGCUAAUACGGGAUAUUCUGGGUCUGUCGCAUGAUGGGUCUGGGAAAGAUAUUGUUUCGGUGGGGGAUGGGCUCGCGGCCUAUCAGCUUGUUGGUGGGGUGAUGGCCUACCAAGGCGGUGACGGGUAGCCGGCCUGAGAGGGUGGACGGUCACACUGGGACUGAGACACGGCCCAGACUCCUACGGGAGGCAGCAGUGGGGAAUAUUGCACAAUGGGCGCAAGCCUGAUGCAGCGACGCCGCGUGAGGGAUGGAGGCCUGCGGGUUGUGGACCUCUUUCGCCAGUGAAGCAGGCCUGCCUCGUUUGUGGGUGGGUUGACGGUAGCUGGAGAAGAAGCGCCGGCUAACUACGUG
RNAcentral lists this ribosomal RNA (494 nucleotides) under uncultured bacterium. Its description in RNAcentral is "partial 16S ribosomal RNA". It matches the Rfam family "Bacterial small subunit ribosomal RNA", at positions 28 to 507 of the family's 1533-position model. The record is from RNAcentral.